Molecule: long non-coding RNA, 659 nt
Filed under: Mytilus galloprovincialis (Mediterranean mussel)
Lineage: Eukaryota; Metazoa; Mollusca; Bivalvia; Mytilida; Mytilidae
Source: RNAcentral
CUCUUUAGAGUAUUCAGCUAUCGAAAAAGUAUACAUCACCAUCAAAGUUAUGUAAAAGAGAAAGUCAAAAUAAAGUAAUUAGCUCUUCAAUUAUUAUAUUUAGUUUAAGACUUGCAAGUAAUUUAGCCUAUAUAAACCCCUGGUCAUGAAGAGACAAAGGUUGCAAAACUGUGCAUCUAGUGCAGUUACACUUAUACCAAUUAUUGGCCUGAUAGACAUUUAUAUCUUAUACUACGAUAUAAUUUUGCUCAUAUGUACGUACUAUGCCAUGCAUUCUCCCUAAUACUCAAAUUGACAAUCAUAUCACUGCUAAUGAUUACGCCAAUUUAAUGUACAAUCAAAUUGUUCGGAACAAACUGCUAAACACAAUAUAUAAUCUCACAGCCCAUUAUAAGAUGAUUUAUGUGGUUUUCUUUUUUUUAAUUUGUUGAAUAUGUUUAUGCCCCACCUACGAUAGUAGAGGGGCAUUUUUUUUCCUGGUCUGUGCGUCCGUUCGUUCGUCCGUUCGUCCCGCUUUAGGUUAAAGUUUUUGGUCAAGGUAGUUUUUGAUGAAGUUGAAGUCCAAUCAACUUGAAACUCAGUACACAUGUGCCCUAUGAUAUGAUCUUUCUAAUUUUAAUGCCAAAUUAGUUUUUUGUUCCCAAUUUCACGGUUCACCG